UUUACGAGGCGACUGGAUGCGGUAGUUGCGACAGUACGAGAGACUGGGAGGCAGAGUCUCUUUGUACCCUUUCCAUUUCAGAGGGAGAGAAAGUGGAAGGACGGCCACAGAAACGGACAGGGGAGGUCGGUGCGUAGGACAGUGGAGGACUACUGCACAUGUGUGACAGGAAGUUGGCAGGCACAGAGGCAUUAUCUACACCUACGAAUUCUCCACAGACAAGCUGGUGGCAGAGAGCGUCCUUCCUAUCUGCUGCUCCUCUUACAACGAAGUGGUCGGCUACAGCUACAACAUUGGCCUUGUGGUCCCCUAUGACAACAUCUAGGCAGGGUGGGAAGAAGGGAAGUCCAGCUGGGUUGGACCCUGGAGAAGGAGAACCCCAAGGAUGGCGUUCCUGCAGACCUCUUUGGAGGGCUCGGAAGCCACGGGUUGGCCAAGCAGGCAGCAGAAGAAGGGGGGACACAUGGGGGUCUCCCCAAAGCUUUAAUAACAGUGCUGUAGGACCGAAGAAGAGAUGGUGGGUAACAGGAGCCAUGAUAGAUAGGCAAGAAUCAGGAGAAGAUAAUAAAAGCUUUAGCCCAUAAAUCAGGAGGUAGUAAGACAGGUUGUAGCCCACGUGUGCAGAGACCAUUCUGGUGGAAGGGAGGGCUUCCAUUCCUUGCACCUAGCUGAAAUAGUUCAGUGCUGCCUUUCUGGAACAGGCGCCGACGCUACCUGCAACAUCUGGAGAUCUUAAGAAGAAGACGAGACUUUGGGAGCGUUUUUCUUGUGGAUUUUGGCACAGCAACCUGAUCGACCGAAAUGUCAUCGAUUACUUUAUUCCCUUCCUGCCUCUCGAAAUCAGCCAUGUGAAAAUGUGCAUCAGGGCUGAAUUGGAAUUGCGGGGCCACCCCAUCAAUGAAGCCGUGGUCUCACGGGUGGCCGAUGAGAUGACCUACUUCCCCAAAGAGGAGCGAAUCUAUUCCGACAAAGGGUGCAAGACAGUUUACACAAAAUUAGAUUUCUAUUACAACGUCUAAAAUUGUUUUCUGCUUGCAACUUCAGAGAAGGGGGGAAAAAAACGAACCUAUUCAGAGGACCCAAAGGAAAAACCAAAUCACUUUCUUUCUCCCCCCCCCCCAGAUUUUAACCUAUGUAAAUAGGAUGACUAAUUGAGAUUGGGGAAGAGCUGGGAUCUCUAAAAUUGUGGCCUGUUUGUUAAGAACACAGUUUUGAGGUCCAUCUGUUGCAAAGUUGUUUUAAUCAUGACUGCAUUUUGGUCCAUGACACAAGCUCUUUAGGGACCACGUCCAUCUGCCUGGAAGUAAAAACGGUUCUAAUUAGAUAACAGUUGAUUAUGAAAAGUUGUGGGGUUGUUUUUUGGGGGGGAAACAUUUGUGACUCCUAAGAAAUGAAGGAAUGUUUUUGCAUCUGUGCAUUUUUAAAAAAAUAAUUUUGUACAAAUUAGCAGCUUGAAUCUUUCUGUUUUCUUUGGGUAUCCUUCGAGCUGCUUUUAAAGAGCCUUAUUGUGUAUCCAGACCAGUGUUGGUGCUAAAAAAAUAAUAAUAAUCAGAAAAGUGAUCUAUGGCUGCCAAAAUUGUCAAGCAACAAAAUAUUUGACUGUAUUUCAGGGAGAUUUUUUUUUUUUUUUUUUUUUUUUUUGUAAUUUUGGAAUAAAACGCAACUGGCCAUCUUAACUCCUGCCUGGGCUGAACAAGACAUAUUCCAAGUAUUUUGAGAAUCAUCUGCAAUUCCUUGAAGCAAGAACUUAUCAGAACCAAUUCAGAAAGCGUUGCCUUUGUGCCAAACCCAGAAUUUGUCAGAAUAUUUUGAUAUUGUGGUCUCUCUGCAAUCACUUGCAAAAUAUUCCUUUCCUCUACCCAGCCAAAUAAAAUGGCUUAGUGAAGCAGCUUUCCUUAACAAGAAGGUAUUUGUCUCUUAACAGUGGUUUGUUGAACAGUGCUGGAAUAUUUUUCUUAAUAAAGGAAAACAAAGCUGGUAGGUUAA
This is a long non-coding RNA of Crotalus tigris (Tiger rattlesnake), 1986 nucleotides long. RefSeq lists it as uncharacterized. The record is from RefSeq and is a predicted model, not a curated record. NCBI's taxonomy places the organism in Eukaryota, Metazoa, Chordata, Lepidosauria, Squamata, Viperidae. The transcript is spliced from 3 exons.